This 596-nucleotide long non-coding RNA is filed under the name Homo sapiens (human). RNAcentral describes it as "HSALNT0323911". The record is from RNAcentral. Lineage: Eukaryota; Metazoa; Chordata; Mammalia; Primates; Hominidae.
GCCAUUUCAAAGCUCUACAUAAGCUAAAACAAAUAAACCAACCCCGUCUUGUUGACCUAGAUUACUGCUUAAACAAAGUUAUUCCCAAUAUUCCCUUCAUCUAAUGAAGUUCCUCCAAAUUUCAUGAUCCUUGUGACAAUCCACCCCAGACUAUGGUGAGAGACCCAGAGCUGCAGCAGUUUUGGUUGUGGUUAUUCUGACAUUGACCCGAAGGGAGCAAGAAUGUUUCUCAGGAGCCCUUGCCUGGACUCCCCUUCCAGACCACAACUUCCCCGGUGAUAUGGGACCCUGGAGGAGGAAGUCUACAAUGUGGGAGAGAUGAGUUACCAGGAAGAUAACCUUUGCACUCAGAAGGCUUGCGAACCCCAGAGGAGACUGUCUGUCUGAGAGAUCACCUUACCCACACUGUGGAAUAAAAAUAUUGCCUCUGACAUUAGGGAACUGGCAUUCCCCUCCUCCACUGUUUGAAAAGAUACCAGAGGUAGAAUCUUCAUCCUUUGUUCACUGAUGCCACCCAAGCACCUAGACCAGCGAUGGCAAAUUUAAAACAUUUAAAAAUUGAUGCCUUCCAGUUGUUUGCACACAUUUAGAAUUUU